This 359-nucleotide small RNA is filed under the name Sus scrofa (pig). Its description in RNAcentral is "partial non-coding RNA". The record is from RNAcentral. Lineage: Eukaryota; Metazoa; Chordata; Mammalia; Artiodactyla; Suidae.
ACUCCAGCUCCUAUGCAGCGGCUGGGCAGAUGGACCUGCGGUGUGGGGCCACAAGGCCCGAGAGGCCUGGGCCUCUCCCAGCCACCGUGGACCCUCUGGCAGCUUGAGCAGGUGGGUCCCAGAGGCUGCUCAGGCCUCAGCUCCUGCACAGCCAGGCCACACCGGGGCCUCCUGGGCUGGAAGCAUGGAAGGAAGGCAGGUACCAAAACAAGGAGGAGGAGAAGGAGGAAGGAGGGGCCCUCUAGCCCCGAGGACCGAGGGCAGGAUGAACCCAGAACAUCCAGGACUUCCCGUCCGUCCUGAGAGGCGGCAAGUACUUGGCCUCCUCCCGGGUGCUCCUACCCUCUGUGAGCAUCCCC